RNAcentral lists this small RNA (711 nucleotides) under Pongo abelii (Sumatran orangutan). RNAcentral describes it as "processed transcript". The record is from RNAcentral. Lineage: Eukaryota; Metazoa; Chordata; Mammalia; Primates; Hominidae.
AGAUAAGGUGCUGAGUUACCUAGUGGCUGUGGCACUGGAACAUUAAGAGGACAAUGACAGAGUCAAGCGGAACAUCCUGGCCAUGGGCGAGAAGACGGGUAUGACCAGGAACCCCCAUUUCAGCCACGACAACUGGAUCCCGACCUUUUUCAGCACCCAGUAUUUCUGGUUCGUCUUGAAGGUCCGUUGGCAGCGACUAGAGGACACGACUGAGACAGGGGGUCUGGCCCCAAACUGCCCGGUGGUCCGCCUCUCAGGACAGAGGUGCAACAUUUGGGAGUUUAUGCAAGGUGCUCCUUCCUGCUCCCACCCAGUGACUGCUGCCAUCUCCUGACCCCAGAGUGGGCCUGGAUACAGAUAUGAGGAAGGUGGGGGUCAGGUGUCACAUUCCCCCAGUGUCGCAUGGCAGCUGUCCCCAUCCCAGGCUUGCAGUGCCAUAGUGCAAUUCGCCAAGUGACUGAGGGUGGGGGAAGCCUCUUGCCCACCCUUUCCCCCAUCAAGGUAAUAGGCCACUGGUGCUGAAUUUUGGAAGUUGUACCUGACCUUCAUUUAUGUUCAAAUUUGACCAAUUCAAGAGGCUUAUUGAAGACUUUAGUUCCAUAGCAGAUUUUCUCGUCAUUUACAUUGAAGAAGCACAUGCAUCAGAUGGCUGGGCUUUUAAGAACAACAUGGACAUCAGAAAUCACCAGAACCUUCAGGACCGCCUGCAGG